Molecule: transfer-messenger RNA, 272 nt
Filed under: Picocystis salinarum
Lineage: Eukaryota; Viridiplantae; Chlorophyta; Picocystophyceae; Picocystales; Picocystaceae
Rfam family: transfer-messenger RNA
About the family: Bacterial tmRNA, also known as 10Sa RNA or SsrA, is named for its dual tRNA and mRNA-like properties. Its role is to liberate the mRNA from a stalled ribosome. To accomplish this part of the tmRNA is used as a reading frame that ends in a translation stop signal.
Source: RNAcentral
GGGGUUGUUCUGGAUUCGACAAAACUAAGAGUAAAUAUAUUGAAGCAAAAAAAAACUCAAAUCUAAAUGACAAUAACAUUUUAAAUUGGAAUCGUAAGGUAGCUGUAGCUGCAUAAAAACUUCUAAGUUUCGAUCUACAUACUAAUUAUUAAGUUAAAUAUAGAUUAUAAAAUAACUUGUUACAUAGUUCAAUGUAACUAAAUUUUGUGAACAAAUAUACGACCAUAAAUUAUUAGUUUUGGACGUGGGUUCAACUCCCACCAACUCCACCA